Molecule: non-coding RNA, 5046 nt
Organism: Xyrichtys novacula (pearly razorfish)
Lineage: Eukaryota; Metazoa; Chordata; Actinopteri; Labriformes; Labridae
Source: the annotation of a GenBank genome assembly
CCACUUUUUAUUUUUGCCCUCUGGUGGCAAAGAUAAUUGCAAUGUGACAACUUACUUGUGUGACAACAAGCCCCGGUCUCCCCUAUUUGAGAAUCAGGCCAUCCAGUUAAGAUAAAUGUAAUGUUGUUAGUUGUUAAAAUCUGGAUGAAAGAUUUUUUUUUUUUAUUUAGCUUUUUUAUUUUUCAAUUUUCCCCUUGAGGGAUUGCCACCCUAUUGUAGUCAGGGGGUUUGUGUGCCUCAGCGACCCUAAGAGCUAUACCAGCAGGAGCUUUAGUCUUCAGGUGGGACACCCAAGUUUAACAGGUCUUAGGGUAGAGGCCUGACAGAGUGCUGACAGAAUCACAUUAAUGGUGGUUCAUCUUUGUAUGUUUUGUUUCCCUGAGCUUUCCGUUUUUCUAAUUUUUCCUGCAGAGAGAGAAAAGGAAGACCACGCGAAGGAGAGAGGAGAGGAAAGGAUAGCAAGGGAAAGGAUAGGAGAAGAGGCAGGAGGGCCAAUAGUUUCAACUGUCACUGUAAAAGGUAUUUAUUAAUACUCGUUUACUUUAUCAUAGUUUAGUUGAUGCAAACCUCUAUCAUUUCCAUCAAAUGUAAUUUCUUCCUAGUGCUUAUACUUUCUUUGAUUUAAUUUUACUGACAGAGACAGAAAAGAGAGGAGAGGAAAGCAGAGGAGAGGAGGUGGGAGGGAAAAAGGUUCAAACUUUAAAUUUGAAAGGUAUUUAUCUAUUAACUUAUUUUUAUCAACACUAUUAAUGCAAUCAUAACAAUCCUCCCUCUGGUGUCUGACUUUCUUCAUGAUAACUUUGCCUCCUGUUCUUUUCUGGACUCAUUGAUAGAUUUAUGAACUGAACUCUUGAGGACAGGGAGAGGAGGUUUGAGAACUAGAAAAAAAGGGAGCAGCUGAGCCUACAGGGAAGUCUCCAGGUAAGUGCUGAAAAAGUAAAUGUGAAGGAGUUGUUGCAUGAGUUUAAUGAGGAGCUGUAUGUGGAUAAGUAAAAACAUUCCAUUAAAGAAGAACAGACUGACCUGAUAUAACAGAACGUUUUUUAAAUACUGCACAUUAUAAAGCUUUUGUUAAAUUAUUAUUAUUUUUUAAGAUUAAACAUUUGUUUUUUAUGUUUUUUUUUUCAGGGAAGGACAAAGCAAAGAGUAGAAGAGAGGAGGAGGUGAAGGAGAGGAGGCGGGAGGGCCAAAGGUUUCAACUGUCAAUGUAAUACUUGUUUACUUUAUCAUAGUUUAGUUGAUGCAAACCUCUAUCAUUCCUAUCAUGUGUAGUUUUUUCUGGCACUUAAACUUUCUUUGCUUUAAUUUUACUGACAGAGACAAAAAAGAGAGAAGAGGAGAGGAGAAAAAAGGAGAGGAGAGGAGGAAAGACAGGGUUUUUCCUGCGUUCAAAAUUGCGUGGCGGCCGCCUCCACCUAAUUUUGUGCCGCCCCCAGCCAGAGCGAUUGAUUUCGCUCAACACAGCGUAAAGCUCCAGCUGUGUUGAUUGAGUGUAUGAUGUCCCUCUGCAGCAGCAACGUAUUUUAACUGCAGUUGCAGCGUUGCGCCACUAUAGAGGCGCUAUAUCAACAGCAGUGCACCGGAAAGACCUGAAGCAUCUAUCUACCGAAGAAGAAACGGAUCGAAUCAUGUUUUUUCAAGUUUUUUUCCCGCUAGUUGGUGCUAUCGGCGACCUGAUUUUCCCCGGCGGCUGGUACAAACAGGUAAAUACUGCUUGUCUUUUUUGCAUCCAAGCAUGACGUGUUUAUUAAAAAAAAAGUUUCCUCCGUUUUUUUAGCGUUGCAGAUAUGACAGGCAAAAUCAGCCUUUAAAAAGCGACCUCGCGAGGAGGAAAGUCAAGAGUCCAGGUGAAACAAAGCAGAGAAAAAACGUAACAGGCAGUUAAAAUGUUAUAACUCAUGGUGGGGACAACGUGGACAUUUGUGUCAGGUCUGAAAGUACUUAACAAGGGACUGGUGAUCGCGAGGGUCAGAAUGCAGGACAGGACGAGUCGGCGAGGCGAGGGUAAUUAAUUAAUUAGUUUCCAAUUAGGAGCAUAACAACGCAAAACCAACGUGUACGUGGUUUUUAUUCCUCUGUCUAGAUCUUCUCAAAAACACAGAGCCAGUGGCUUUGACAAGCAGUGGCUCAAUCAAUUUACCUGGCUCAGGCAUACUGAGGAAGGCAUGCACUGCUAUUUAUGCCAAAAGCACUGUGCCCCAACACAGCAGGCAAUUGCUGCCUCCUUAGUGAGACAGCCAUCAACCAACUACAGGCUGGACACAUUAAAAAGACAUGAGGUGACAGCCAUUCACAAAGCAGCAGAAGAGAAGGAGAAAUAUAUUAAAGAUGGUAGUACCUAAAAACACUCAACUAAUAAAGUUACAAAAAAUAAAAUAACAUAGUUUAGAUAGUUUAAGAAAUAAUUGGUUGUCGUUUUUUUAGGGAGGACACUGCAACGUACACAUAUAUAUAAUAUAUGAUUGAAAACGCUAUCACUCUUCAUGUCUGUAUCAGAAUAAAAACAAAAAUACUUAAUGCAUGAUGAAUUGUUUUGUUUAAGGUGAAGACACCUCUGCGGAACAGACUGAAGGAGAGGCACUUGGAUGUCUGUUGUAAGGUGGCCGUUGAUGGACCAGACCAGGAGUCCUUGGACUACAAGGAGUGCAUGAGGAGGUUCUACAGAAUGAAAAAGAGGAGGCUGAAAUAGUGCUGGGCGAUUGGACGAUAUAUAUCGUUGGCACGAUAGAAAAUGUCUAUCGUGCCAUUUUUAUUCUUAUCGUUUCGGGCGAUAGGUUGUAUUUAAUCCAUAGAGCUUGUGCCAUCAGAUGAUUCAUAGUAACAACAACAAUAAUUGCACAUUCAGUAAGUGUAUUUGGUGUCGAACGGGAAAGAAAACAAUAUUUUCUUACAAAGAAAAGGAUGCGUUGACAUGUAGGCUUGCAUUUCUCUUUCGAUUUUGCGACAUGACGCCGCUUUACGUGCCCUCUUUAUGUCCAGCGCCUCCCGCCGUUGCGGGUUACCUGGGUUACACACGUGAGGGGAUCAUUGUAAGCAGUGCUUAAUUUGUGCCGGAGCAAGUCGGAGCGCGAUCCGGGACCUCUUUUGAUCGGAUCUGGGACCUAUUUCAGCCGCUCCGGCACCUGUUUCAUCUGCUCCGGGACCUUCCCUGUGGAGGAUGACUUUUUUCGGGAAUUCCCGUGGGUCACGUGAUUCCCGCGGGAUGGGAGUCAUUUUUUUUAUUAAUCUCUUGAUCGGGACGGGACGGGAAAAAAAGCAACGGGAGUGGGCAGGAGCGGGAACAACAUGAAAAGAUGAUCUUUUUCAGCCGUGUUUAACAACCAGAUGAACAGGUGCGUCCAUUUUUGUAGUCAUCUCUCAGUGAGAGUAAACACUCUUGACCGCGCUAGCAACACAAAAGAACUACAACAGUGGUUUGACUUCCUGUCAGCUGGGAGCGCGGCUGCGCAUUUGUACCCUUCAAGCCAGCAGCGAGGAAACGUAAUUUUGUGACAUUCUGUAGUUUUUCAAUCAUUUCUGGAGUCGUGGCGAAUCAAAUCACCUUACCUGUCUGCCCCUGAUAGGCGAAUAAAGCGCUCGGAUUCAUGCUCGGGUCUUGCUACGUGCUUCAAGAGUAAAGUAAACAAUGAUGGAGGCAGAGAGCAGCUUUGGAGGAGAAACAUCUAGCAGUGUGAACAACCUCUUCAAAAGAGCCCUAAAGACCUACCUUUUUAAUAAAGCCUUUGGUUAGUUUUCCUCUAUGCUUUAUGCUUUUACUACCUUGCCUCUUACAUUGCAACUCUAUAUAUUUUAUUUUUUUUAAAUUCUUUUUUAUGCUAAUCUGUGACUGUCAUUCUAUUGCUUUUUUUUAUUGUUGCUGCUCUUUUUUGACUGUGUACUGUAGCACUUUGAGAUUUUUUUGUAAAUGUAAAGUGCACUACAAAUUAAAUUUAUUAUUAUUGUUAUUAUUAUUAUUAUUAUGGAGUGCUUCGGCUCACACUAUCAGCGUUUUCUGUAAGUGUUACAUAACUUUGGGUGAGCACAGACAUGAACGCACUUCAGCCACGUAUUUGUUUAUUCAUUUUUCUAGUUUUAAGUGCUGGUCUUGUACUGGUACUGUACUAGUGCAGCUGUAUACACUUAAAUUUUUCAUAGAACUGAAAGCAUACCAUAGCUAUAUCGUGAUAUAUAUCGUUAUCGUGAUAUAAAAUGAUCCAUAUCGUGAUAUACAUUUUUUUCCAUAUCGCCCAGCACUAGGCUGAAAUGUUCUGUCUGGUUGUGAGAUGUGUGGAUGAAGUGUACUUUCAAUUUAAAGUUGCCAGCUGAUUUGUGUAUGUAUAUAGUUUUAAUAAAUGAAUGCUUUAACAUGAUAAUGGUCACACUCUUUUUUGAACUCUUAACUUAAAGUAUGUUGCCUGUAAAAGAAAGUGAGUCAGUUGAAUUUACAAAUACAUGCACGUCAUGGCGCAUGUUCAGGAUGGUGCCACCUCUGCCUCAAUUUGAGCCAGGAAAAACCCUGAAAGAGGAGAGGUGGUGGGAGGGCCAAAGAUUUUUAAAUCUCACAGAAAAAAGGUACAUGUUUACUAUUUCUUAUUUCCACUGAAUCACAUACAUGGUGGUUCAUCUUUGUAUCUAUUGUUUACCUGAACUUUCAUUCCUCCUAAUUUUUUUCUGCAGAGAGAGAAAAGGUAGACCAAGUGAAGGAGAGAGAAGAGGAAAGGAUGGGAAAGGAGAGGAGAGGGGGUGGUAGGACCAAAGGUUCAAACUUUAAGUUUGAAAGGUAUUUAUCCAAUUACUUAUUGAGAGAGAAAAGGGGCAGAGGAAGAAUUAAAUAUCUUUAACUCCAUCAUGUGUGACUAUCUACUGGAUAUUUAAUUUAAUGCAGUUUCAGUUAUGUUAAUUCGGUCAGGUUGAGUGUCCAAACCCACUCAUCAGAUAAGAUAUAGAUCAGAAUAUAUCGAUAUAGAUCUAAAUUUAGAUUGUUGCACUGAAUAUUGUUUGUUGUUGAUUAUUAUUUGCACUGAAAUGUGCCUGACACUGUGGAAACCUGCCAGUGAGGCAUCGGUG